CUAAGCAAAGUCUUUUAUCUCGAUUUAUUUCGGUUUUCGGUUAUUCGGCGGCCGCUUAUGCCGCUAAUUUUCCUCCGUUGGCUCCUCGUAUUUUCUUAAUGAUAUCGAAAUAAAAUCCCCAAAAUUAUUAAAGUAUGUAAUUAAAUUAACGCAACCACUUUCCCUCGAACUAUAUUUAUUUCGGACUUAGGAUAUAAUUAUUCAUUCGUAGAACUAUUCCGGAAUUAAUUAAAUAAUUCCCCACAAUUAAUUUAAUUUUUACUCAAAAAAAUUAAUUAGUUAUUAGCCCAAAGAUUUAAAUGGAUCCCAUAGAUUUAAUACAUCCUCCCAUUUAAAAGAUGAGGCCCAACUUAAAUAAAACAAAAGCCCAAUUUAUUAAAUCAAGGCCCACAUUAUUUCUUAAAAAAAAAAGCCCAAGAACCCAAAUUCCUUCCUUCACUCACGUUUCCUUCUUCCUCUCUCUCUAUCUCUCUUCUUCUCUCACUCUCGACCAAAUCGGAAGAAAUCCUCCAUCCGUUCGUCGCCUGCUCCGAUUCACUCCACGCCGUCGGCCGCUGCUCACCGGGAAGACAAAUUGCGGCUGCCACGGUGUCGUCGGAGCGGGGGAAAUCCGGCCGUCGAUCCGUCAGACAACCGCUGCUGUCGCGUCGCUGCUCCGUCGCCGCCAAAUCCGUCUGCCGUCGCUGCUGCUGCCGUCGCUGCUGGGAGGUGUCGCCGGGUCAGGCUGCUGCUGCCGCCGCUCCGUCGGUGGUCGUGCAGCCCCGAAACCACCCCGAAACAGACCCGAUUCCCUCCGAACAGCCCCAAAACAUCCCGGAACCAACCCGUUCAGCCCCGCAAGACCCCGAUGAUUACGGAGGAUGAAUAUCUCAUUACGGAGGAUGAAGAUAUCUGUAGGAUCUUUAUUUAGUAAUUGAAUUAAUAUCAAGGAGAAUCUUUAAUUCACGGUCCAUUGUAUUUUAUUUUAAAUUGUGUAGUACAUAAUUUAUUUAUCACGGACUGGACCUUUAUAUUAUUGUCCAAUUAUUCGAUCCAGUACGCAAAUUGAGUUCAAUAAAUAUAUUCCUCACGGAAAGGAAUUAUUUAAA
Salvia splendens (bonfire salvia) is the source of this 1088-nucleotide long non-coding RNA. RefSeq lists it as uncharacterized. Lineage: Eukaryota; Viridiplantae; Streptophyta; Magnoliopsida; Lamiales; Lamiaceae. The transcript is spliced from 2 exons. The record is from RefSeq and is a predicted model, not a curated record.